Non-coding RNA from Cyanistes caeruleus (blue tit), 2658 nucleotides. The record is from RefSeq and is a predicted model, not a curated record. NCBI's taxonomy places the organism in Eukaryota, Metazoa, Chordata, Aves, Passeriformes, Paridae.
GAAGAUGGCAGCCCUGUUGGUGACAGUUGAGAUGGAGUUUAAAUGAAGUACCACUUCAGGCUUGUUUGGAGGUGUUUUUGGAUCCAGCUUCCUGGGUAAAUAUUCACCACCUGGAGUAUACAGAUGGAGGAAUCUUGGACCCAGAUGAUGUGCUGGCAGAUGUUGUGGAAGACAAAGAUAAGCUGAUUGCCGUUUAUGACGAACAAGAAGCUCCCCGUAAGACUGAUGGCACCAAUGGGAAUUUGAAAGACAGAAAUAGCCCAGACUCCUUUGAGACAGAGGUAGCGACUCAACUGGCUGCAUUUCAGCCCAUUGGUGAGAUUGAAGUGACUCCUUCUGCCCUAAAACUGGGCACACCGCUUCUGGUACGGAGGAGCAGUGAUCCAGCUUUGGGUGCACCUGAUGACUUCCCAAGUGCUUCUCAUCCCAGUGACUAUGGCCUCAAGCAUGUCGUGGCAGUAGGUGUCAUGUGACUCACCUCUUGCUUAAGACCGAAACGUUUCUUUCCUGUUGGAGUAUAAUAGUUUUAUAAGCUCCAUAUGUAUUUGGAUCUAUAACCAAAUGCACCACACUUAUUUUCUGUAAAGUAGAGAAUUUCCUCUGGAAAAAUAGUUUAGGUGAUACAAUCAAUUAACAGUGGUUCUAUAAGAGAUUUACAUAAAGCUUAGUGGUGUCAUAAGGCAUUGGAAUAUGAACUGAACUUUCAGCAGUUAUUUAUUUGUUCAGUAUCAUGUUUUGCAGUUUGUCAUUGUUUCUUUGCCCUUGCACCCUUUUUCACUUGUCUUGUUUUCUAAGGGCAUUUCUGUCAUCUUUGGUACCCUGCUGCUAUCCUACAUGGUCUCUGUCUCACUUCUCUGUUUGACCUGACUCUUCCCUUUCGAGGACAAAUUUGUUUUCAAUAUAGUUAUUCCUAAGUUCUAUUGCAAGGCCACAAUUAGUGAAAAUGCAGUAACUCUUAAUUAUAUGUUUUUGCAGACUGUCUUUAAUCUUCUUAAAGUGAUGCUGUCUUAGUCACACUUGGGCCACAUGUUCUACUUUGCAGUUUUAAGACCUGAAGCUUUGUGUGUAGGGAAAGUGUUCCUACAUUUCUUAUAAACCAAUGAAAUUCUUCAGAAUCUCUGAAUGUCAGCUGGGACAUGUAAGUGCCUUGAGCUGAAUAAAGCUAUUUUUCAGAUUUUGCCCAGAAAUCUCUGGUGGGUCUAGUUCUGCUCUUCUUUAGACCACAUGAAUGCUGGCUUAAAUGGUGACUCUGCUUUCAUCUGCUUGUAAUAUUUAUGCCUUUUCCCCUUUAGAUUCUCUGCAUAAUGUUGCAGUUCACUCCCUGUCCCCAGCUGUGCAAAACAAUAUAUUGCUGGUUUGUUUCAAAACAAAGCAGCACUCAGAAACCCUGAGUCUUUGUUUGGUGCAGGAGGGAUGUUGCAGACUAGAUCACAACUACUUUAGAGCAAUGUUCCACAAAAGGCUGUGCUGGCACAUUAGGGAGUGGGGGGAGAGAGCUGGGGUUCAGUGACACAUCCUGGAGAUGGGAACCUUUCACCUGAAGGUGUAUUUAAGACCAAACUUCCAAUGAAGUUCAUGUGAAUAAAGGAAGUAAAUAGUCAGUCGACUUGCAUGCAGAUGAUGUUCUAUGAAUCUCACUUCACCACUGCAAUUCUGAAGGCCAACACAGGGUUUUAGUUGACUGUUCAUUGUUUCUCUUUGCAUGGUCAAAUGCAUGUGCAUUUAAGUAAUUUGUGUGCACCUUAUUUUACAAUGGCUUGUGUUAUUUGCUAAGUGGUGCAAUUUUAAAAGUCUCAGUAGCUCUCCAAGUAUAUUUUGAUGUUACAGGGGGCUGAACUGGUCAAAGUUACAUAUCAUUUGUCAGACCUGUUUGAGCUGAGAGGUUUUUCUUGAUGUUUGUUGCAAGUAUUUACUUAUUAAUGAAAUACUGAGUCUGAUAAAUGAAAGUACAAAGAAGAAUUCUUGGUUAACAGUGCAGAUCUUACACUCUUGGCAAAGCUGAGAAACAUAUAAAGUGAUUAUGUCAGUAUGUAACACUGAACCCCAGUAUUUUAUAACUGUGAACAUGGCAAAAAAAGGUGGAAAAAUAAGCAAAAUCAGUUUCAUUCCAGGGUGUGUUUUGAAUGCUUUAUAGACCAUCAAGAAAAAAAAAAUAGCAUUUUGUUGAGUUGAGUUUUUUAACGUAAUUUUAGUGGUGACAAGUGCAUUUUAUGCUAUUACAUGAGGAUUGCAGUAAUACUUAGAGGUUAAAACCUCACCAUGCUUCACUGACUUGCAUCAGUACAAAAGAGUCCUCUAGCCUAAAGGAAUUAUCUGUGCUAAAAUACAGAGCAUCCCUCUGUCAGCUGUAGGGGUGACAGUCAAAGCUGGAAAAGUAAUAGGGGUGGAGAAGGAUUUUUUAAAAAAUAUAUCAUGUAAAGUGGAGGUGGGGGAGGCCCUGAAAGUUGAAAGUUGUGCUUUGGUGCUGUUCUGGUAUUUUUGUGAAAGCAAAAAUCUAUUACAGCAAAAUUACAUUACACUAACUCUUAUUUUUGCAACACUACCAUUAAUAAAACUCUCAUCAUCAAUCAUACUGAAAUAUGCUUUGGAAUAAUGUUCUGGGAAACACAGAAAGCUUAAAUAACAUAGGUUAAAUUAGGUACAGAUUGUUUUAAAACA